UACGUAGGGUGCAAGCGUUGUCCGGAAUUAUUGGGCGUAAAGAGCUCGUAGGCGGUCUGUUGCGUCGGCUGUGAAAACCCGGGGCUCAACUCCGGGCCUGCAGCCGAUACGGGCAGACUAGAGUUCGGCAGGGGAGACUGGAAUUCCUGGUGUAGCGGUGAAAUGCGCAGAUAUCAGGAGGAACACCGGUGGCGAAGGCGGGUCUCUGGGCCGAUACUGACGCUGAGGCGCGAAAGCUGGGGGAGCAAACGGG
Molecule: ribosomal RNA, 253 nt
Filed under: uncultured bacterium
Lineage: Bacteria
Description: partial 16S ribosomal RNA
Rfam family: Bacterial small subunit ribosomal RNA
Source: RNAcentral